This is a long non-coding RNA of Cherax quadricarinatus, 505 nucleotides long. RefSeq lists it as uncharacterized. NCBI's taxonomy places the organism in Eukaryota, Metazoa, Arthropoda, Malacostraca, Decapoda, Parastacidae. The record is from RefSeq and is a predicted model, not a curated record.
CCAGGAGGCUAUAGGUCACGUUACCUACCAUGCCGGCGUAAGUUUUGGUGUCCCUAAAAAUCCACAACAACAACAACAAGCUAACUUGUCUCACCUAGCAACUUUCUAGCCAAAUUUUUGUGCCUCGCGAGACUAAGGUGGUGAUGUGGCCUACCAGUCACAGUAACUGCCUCCCAUGCUCGACCUCACGGCAGCCAGAACACCGAAGUGAGGAGUGCAGGCAAUGGUUCUUUGGUUGGUUACUUCACUACUUAGGAGUGGCGUGUUUACAUCAAUGCCACCUCGGGGCCGGUCCUUGGCAGGGUUAGAGCUGACCUGAGUGCAGGUACUGUACUUCCCACCUCCAGGAUUCAAGUCCGGAAACCACAGUGCCAGGAGCAAGAGGCUAGUAACCCCUUCUCCUGUAUAUAUUACUAAAUGUAAAACAAAGGGUGAUCCGAAAAAGGAGAAGCUUUCGUUUCUUUUUUUUCGGAUCACCCUGCCUCGGUGGAAGAUGUCCAUGUAG